This 460-nucleotide ribosomal RNA is filed under the name uncultured bacterium. RNAcentral's name for it is "partial 16S ribosomal RNA". It matches the Rfam family "Bacterial small subunit ribosomal RNA", at positions 338 to 795 of the family's 1533-position model. The record is from RNAcentral.
CCUACGGGUGGCAGCAGUGAGGAAUAUUGGUCAAUGGACGAGAGUCUGAACCAGCCAAGUAGCGUGAAGGAUGACUGCCCUAUGGGUUGUAAACUUCUUUUAUAUGGGAAUAAAACGUUCCACGUGUGGGAUUUUGUAUGUACCAUAUGAAUAAGGAUCGGCUAACUCCGUGCCAGCAGCCGCGGUAAUACGGAGGAUCCGAGCGUUAUCCGGAUUUAUUGGGUUUAAAGGGAGCGUAGGUGGAUUGUUAAGUCAGUUGUGAAAGUUUGCGGCUAAACCGUAAAAUUGCAGUUGAAACUGGCAGUCUUGAGUACAGUAGAGGUGGGCGGAAUUCGUGGUGUAGCGGUGAAAUGCUUAGAUAUCACGAAGAACUCCGAUUGCGAAGGCAGUUCACUGGACUGCAACUGACACUGAGGCUCGAAAGUGUGGGUAUCAAACAGGAUUAGAUACCCUAGUAGUC